This is a small nuclear RNA of Tupaia belangeri (northern tree shrew), 103 nucleotides long. The record is from Ensembl. NCBI's taxonomy places the organism in Eukaryota, Metazoa, Chordata, Mammalia, Scandentia, Tupaiidae.
UUGCUUCAGCAGCACAUAUACUAAAAUUGGAAUGAUACAGGGAAGAUUAGCAUGGCCCCUGCACAAGAACAACAUUCAAAUUCGUGAAGCAUUCCAUAUUUUU